RNAcentral lists this microRNA precursor (88 nucleotides) under Phlebotomus papatasi. RNAcentral describes it as "microRNA mir-315". Lineage: Eukaryota; Metazoa; Arthropoda; Insecta; Diptera; Psychodidae. The record is from RNAcentral.
UAGAUCCUUCUCCUCCUUUAUUACUCGGACAACGUUUCGGAGCUUGUUGUGAAACGUUGUCCGAGUAAUAAAUGAGGACAAGGAUCUA